GUUGUGCAUCGUGUUUGUGGCACCCUCCAUGGAUCAUCUCUUAUGAGCUACGUCUUCCUUGUGUAAAUUGUUAAACUUGAUGUGUCUCUCUCUUUGUCUCCAAUGUGAAUUUAUCUCAGGACUUCCCAGGUUGAUAUUGAUAGUUUUCCUGCAGGGGUUGGUCCAACAAAAUAUCCAAUAUCUACUAUAGCAUACUAUCGGCUCAGAAAUCAACCUAGACACCAUGUAUAAUUUGAUUUAGGAGGGCAUUUUAACCUAAGCACCAUGCUUAAUUUAAAAUCCCUUGGAAGUA
This 292-nucleotide long non-coding RNA is filed under the name Sorghum bicolor (sorghum). RNAcentral's name for it is "long non-coding RNA (SBIC_LNC017993)". Lineage: Eukaryota; Viridiplantae; Streptophyta; Magnoliopsida; Poales; Poaceae. The record is from RNAcentral.